RNAcentral lists this ribosomal RNA (253 nucleotides) under uncultured bacterium. RNAcentral's name for it is "partial 16S ribosomal RNA". It matches the Rfam family "Bacterial small subunit ribosomal RNA", at positions 524 to 776 of the family's 1533-position model. The record is from RNAcentral.
UACGAAGGGAGCUAGCGUUGUUCGGAAUCACUGGGCGUAAAGCGCACGUAGGCGGAUGUGUCAGUCAGGGGUGAAAUCCCGGAGCUCAACUUCGGAACUGCCUUUGAUACAGCACGUCUUGAGUCCGAUAGAGGUGGGUGGAAUUCCUAGUGUAGAGGUGAAAUUCGUAGAUAUUCGGAGGAACACCAGAAGCGAAGGCGGCUCACUGGCCCGAUACUGACGCUGAGGCGCGAAAGCGUGGGGAGCAAACAGG